Molecule: RNA transcript, 1101 nt
Organism: Cervus elaphus (red deer)
Lineage: Eukaryota; Metazoa; Chordata; Mammalia; Artiodactyla; Cervidae
Gene name: 60S ribosomal protein L35-like
Exons: 1
Source: RefSeq, a predicted model, not a curated record
GCGGACUAUACAGCCAUGGCCAAGAUUAAGGCUCGAGACCUUCGCGCAAGAAGAAGGAGGAGCUGCUGAAACAGCUGGAGGACCUGAAGGUGGAACUGUCCCAGCUGCGCGUGGCUAAAGUGACAGGCGGCGCGGAUUCCAAACUCUCCAAGAUCCGAGUGGUUCGUAAAUCCAUUGCCCGUGUACUGACCGUCAUUAACCAGACUCAGAAAGAGAACCUCAGGAAAUUCUAUAAGCGCAAGAAGUACAAGCCCCUGGAUCUGCGGCCCAAGAAAACACGUGCCAUGCGCCGCCGGCUCAACAAGCAUGAAGAGAACCUGAAGAUCAAGAAGCAGCAGCGGAAGGAGCCACUGUACCCCGUCCAGAAGUAUGCAGUCAAGGCCUGAGCUUCCAGCAGUCAAUAAAACACACAGACCACUGGGAAAAAAAAAAAAAAAGAUUGCCUUUAUAUUCUUAAAAAUUAUUGACGACUCCAAAGAGCUUUCUACAUGUAGAUUACAUCUAUUGACAAUUACCACACUAGAAAUCAAAGCUUUUAAAAAAUAUUUACAGGGAAUUCCCUGGUGGUCCAGUGGUUAAGAAUUUGCCUGCCAAUGCAGGGGACAUGGGUUCGACCCCUGGCCUGGGAAGAUCCCUUAUUCCAUGGAGCAACCAAGCCCGUGUACCACAACUGCUAAGCCCACAUGCUGCAACUACUGCAGCCCGUAUACCUAGAGCCGGUGUACCUAGAGUCCGUGUAUCUAGAGCCCGUGUACCACAACAAACAGUAGCCCCGGCUCCCCCAGCAACAGAGCAACAAAGACCCAAUGCAACAAACUAUAAAUAAUAAAUGAAUAAAAUUAAAAAAAAAACAGAAAUAUUUACACAGUAAUUCAUUUAAAAUAAUAUUAUCAUCUUACAGUGUUGAAAACCUGUUAAAUCUGACUUAAUAGAAGAUAGUUGCCUUCUCAUGCCUACGUGUGCAGUCUGUUGUGACAUGUCAGGAGGCCUCUGGACAACCACACAGUCCACUCAUAAGAAAAUGAGAGCUAAAAAAAAAGAAAAAGAAAAUGAGAGCUAAAAAGAAAAAUAACAUCUUACUAUUAUUAAGAAAAUAAUUCU